CUAAAAAUCCUCUAGUUACACUAAAAUCUAUUGAUCAUCAAUGAUAUUGAAGCUAUAAAUAUUCUGAUUUUAAAUAAGUUU
Long non-coding RNA from Maniola jurtina (meadow brown), 81 nucleotides. RefSeq lists it as uncharacterized. The transcript is spliced from 3 exons. NCBI's taxonomy places the organism in Eukaryota, Metazoa, Arthropoda, Insecta, Lepidoptera, Nymphalidae. The record is from RefSeq and is a predicted model, not a curated record.